This 494-nucleotide ribosomal RNA is filed under the name uncultured bacterium. Its description in RNAcentral is "partial 16S ribosomal RNA". It matches the Rfam family "Bacterial small subunit ribosomal RNA", at positions 28 to 507 of the family's 1533-position model. The record is from RNAcentral.
GACGAACGCUGGCGGCGUGCUUAACACAUGCAAGUCGAACGGUGAAGCGCCUUCCUUUUUGGUGGGUGUGGAUGAGUGGCGAACGGGUGAGUAACACGUGAGUAACCUGCCCCCUUCUUCUGGAUAACCGCAUGAAAGUGUGGCUAAUACGGGAUAUUCUGGGUCUGUCGCAUGAUGGGUCUGGGAAAGAUAUUGUUUCGGUGGGGGAUGGGCUCGCGGCCUAUCAGCUUGUUGGUGGGGUGAUGGCCUACCAAGGCGGGGACCGGUAGCCGGCCUGGGAGGGUGGACGGUCAGAAUGGGAGUGAGGAAAAGUCAGGACUGCUACGGGGCGCAGAAGGUGGGGGUAGUGAACAAUGGGGGAAAGGCCUAAACAGCAGGGACGCGGGAGGGAUGGAGGCGUUCGGGUUGUGAACCUCUUUCGCCAGUGAAGCAGGCCUGCCUCGUAUGUGGGUGGGUUGACGGUAGCUGGAUAAGAAGCGCCGGCUAACUACGUG